RNAcentral lists this unclassified non-coding RNA (240 nucleotides) under soil metagenome. RNAcentral describes it as "partial contains 5.8S ribosomal RNA, internal transcribed spacer 2, and large subunit ribosomal RNA". The record is from RNAcentral.
AACCUAGCACACCUGCGGUGUGUACCUGCGGAAGGAUCAUUACCGAGUUUACAAACUCCCAACCCUUUGUGAACCUUACCAUAUUGUUGCUUCGGCGGGACCGCCCCGGCGCCUUCGGGCCCGGAACCAGGCGCCCGCCGGAGGCCCCAAACUCUUAUGUCUUUAGUGGUUUUCUCCUCUGAGUGACACAUAAACGAAUAAAUAAAAACUUUUAACAACGGAUCUCAGAUCGGAAGAGCA